Molecule: ribosomal RNA, 1949 nt
Filed under: human gut metagenome
Description: bacterial LSU rRNA
Rfam family: Bacterial large subunit ribosomal RNA
Source: RNAcentral
GAAAGUAAACAAGGGCGCAUGGAGGAUGCCUAGGCUCUCGGAGGCGAAGAAGGACGUGAUAAGCUGCGAAAAGUUACGGUAAGGCGCAAAUAGCCCUAGACCCGUAAAUAUCCGAAUGGGGCAACCCGGCCAGCAAUGGUCAUACCGCCAAGCGGUAAGCCAACGCGGGGAACUGAAACAUCUAAGUACCCGCAGGAAAAGAAAAUAACAAUGAUUCCGCCAGUAGUGGCGAGCGAACGCGGAACAGCCCAAACCACUCGUGUUACGGCACGAGUGGGGUAGAAGGAUCCACGCUACGGCAAGAAAUAAGUUAGCAGAAUACGAUGGAAAUCGUAGCCAAAGACGGUGACAGCCCGGUACGCGAAAACGGACAGAAGCCCAGUGGACACCUGAGUAACCCAGGACACGAGAAAUCCGGGGCGAAUCAGCGGGGCCCAUCCCGUAAGGCUAAAUACUCCCGAGAGACCGAUAGCGAACCAGUACUGUGAAGGAAAGGUGAAAAGCACCUCGAACAGAGGAGUGAAAUAGUCCCUGAAACCGUCUGCCUACAAGCGGUCGGAGCACAUUAAAGUGUGACGGCGUGCCUUUUGCAUAAUGAACCUACGAGUUACUUUCUCCGGCAAGGUUAAGGGCUUCAGGCCCGGAGCCGAAGCGAAAGCGAGUCUUAAUAGGGCGUGAUAGUCGGAGUGAGUAGACGCGAAACCAAGUGAUCUACCCUUGGUCAGGAUGAAGGUUGGGUAACACCAACUGGAGGUCCGAAUGGGUAUACGUUGAAAAGUGUUCCAAUGAACUGAGGGUAGGGGUGAAAGGCUAAUCAAACUUGGAGAUAGCUCGUACUCCCCGAAAUGCAUUUAGGUGCAGCCUUUAUUUAGUAUAGCAUGAGGUAGAGCGACUGAUUGGAUGCGAGGGCUUCACCGCCUAUCAAGUCCAGAUAAACUCCGAAUGCGUGCUAUAUAUUGAUAAGGAGUGAGGGCGCGGGUGCUAAGGUCCGCGUCCGAGAGGAGAAGAAUCCAGACCAUCAGCUAAGGUCCCCAAAUAACAGUUAAGUUGAACUAACGAAGUCGGACUGCAGAGACAGCUAGGAUGUUGGCUUGGAAGCAGCCAUUCAUUUAAAGAGUGCGUAACAGCUCACUAGUCGAGGAGUCCGGCGUGGAUAAUACUCGGGCAUAAACUGUUUACCGAAGCUAUGGAUGUAGAAAUACAUGGUAGGGGAGCAUUCCAACGGCGUCGAAGGUGAAGGAUGACCUUUGCUGGAGCUUUUGGAAACGCAAAUGUAGGUAUAAGUAACGAUAAAGGAGGUGAGAAACCUCCUCGCCGAAAGACUAAGGUUUCCUGAUCAACGUUAAUCGGAUCAGGGUAAGUCGGGACCUAAGGUUAAGCCGAACGGCGAUACCGAUGGAAGAAUGGUUUAAUAUUCCCAUACUACUUUAUGGAGCGAUGUGGAGACGGAGAAGUGAAAGUCCUGCCAUCUGACGGAAUAGGUGGUUGAAGAGUGUAGAUGUAGAUUCCUGUAGGCAAAUCCGCAGGGAGAGUCGACCUUGACAGUAUGCCGCGUGCUUGCACAAGGCAAAAUGGACGUAAUCAGGCUCCCAAGAAAAUCCGCUAAGCAUAUUCAUAAAGUACCCGUACCGUAAACGGACACACGUAGUUGGGUUGAAAAUACUGAGGCGCUCGAGUGAUUCACGGUUAAGGAACUAGGCAAAUUGACCCUGUAACUUCGGGAUAAAGGGUCCCUACUGAGAGGUAGGGCGCAGAGAAUAGGUCCAGGCAACUGUUUAACAAAAACACAUGGCUGUGCGAAAUAGAAAUAUGAAGUAUACAGCCUGACACCUGCCCGGUGCUGGAAGGUUAAGAGGAGAGCUCAUCGCAAGAGAAGGCUUGAAUUGAAGCCCCAGUAAACGGCGGCCGUAACUAUAACGGUCCUAAGGUAGCGAAAUUCCUUGUCGGGU